UACGUAGGAGGCAAACGUUAUCCGGAUUUACUGGGCGUAAAGCGCGUGUAGGUGGUUCUGUAAGUAGGGCGUGAAAGAUCCCGGCUCAACUGGGAGAUGCCGUUCUAAACUGCAGAGCUAGAGGAUGGUAGAGGGAGGUGGAAUUCCAGGUGUAGCGGUGGAAUGCGCAGAUAUCUGGAGGAACACCAGUGGCGAAGGCGGCCUCCUGGACCAUUCCUGACACUCAGACGCGAAAGCUAGGGUAGCAAACGGGAUUAGAUACCCGGUACGGU
This 272-nucleotide ribosomal RNA is filed under the name uncultured prokaryote. Its description in RNAcentral is "partial 16S ribosomal RNA". It matches the Rfam family "Bacterial small subunit ribosomal RNA", at positions 524 to 794 of the family's 1533-position model. The record is from RNAcentral.